UUUCUUUUGCUCAUGAGCCUCCUGCCCAAGAUACUCCACAAGCUCCUCCAAGAACAGAAACACCUCCUCCAGCCCAGGAAAAAGAAACACCUCCUCCAGCGCCGGAGAAAGAAAAACCUCCUCCAGCCCCGGAGAAAGAAAAACCUCCUCCAACCCAAGAGAAAGAAACACCUUCUGGAGAAACCACCAUUAAUACAAAUGUCGAAAUCACCUUUAAAGGAUCCUUUACAAAGGUUUAUGCAUUUGGAGACUCAUAUACAGAUACUGG
RNAcentral lists this long non-coding RNA (268 nucleotides) under Jatropha curcas. RNAcentral's name for it is "long non-coding RNA (JCUR_LNC000799)". Lineage: Eukaryota; Viridiplantae; Streptophyta; Magnoliopsida; Malpighiales; Euphorbiaceae. The record is from RNAcentral.